UCGUAAAUCAAGCGCCUCUUUCAUAUUUAUAUUUAUGAACCCUAGAUCCUAAAUCACCCGAACCCUGUUGUUUGCGUUUUCUUUAGAUAAAACAAUAAUUGCGGGUUUAGAGUUUCUCAAUUGCAUACAUCGGCUGUUUCAGAUGUCUUGGAGUAUUUAGGGUUUUUCAAUCAACUUGAUGUCGUCGAGAAUCACCAGAAUUUUCAGGGUUUUGUGAGAAUUGCGAGUUUAAGGUUUUCCAAUCAUGGAAUUUGACGAUCAUCUGACGUGUUCUUGGUCUGCCGUAGAAUUAAUUAACAGGCAAGUUUCUUCCGUAAUGGUUUACGAUAAUCUUGUUCUUUUGGAAUUUGUUAAUUUUCUGGGUUGAUUAGUGAUCAGAUCUGCAGGGUUUGUAAACAAAUCUCAACUAUUUUCUCUUGUUUUUUCAGUCGUUUCCUUUGUUUCGAACUUGACUUCUAAACUUAUUUGAUUUUGUAGUUUUGUGAAUUUUCUUGUUUUGUAUGGUGUUUUAUAAUACUGAACUCACAUGUGAGAACUUGUGAUCCUGUUACAAGAACGCUUAAAAACCCAUUCCAAUUGAUAUGUACUUUGAGGCUUGUACUUUGCAGUUGAUUGGGCGUAUUUGUAGCAGGUACUGCUUUCUCGAUGGAAGUUCUUUCUGUUGUUUUGACGUUUGUUAUUGUUCUAUACCUUCCUGAAUCUUUUUGAUUUUACGUUAUUUUUUUGCUAGCCGCGUUUGUUCAACACUCUCGUAUUAUUGAAGUUGUUUCACUUCUCAGAUGUUUUAAUGUUUUCAACACUCCCAUAUUGUUUUUGAUGUUUUCUGCUUGUUCUUAUUUUAGUUUUGAAUUUAAAUUCUAAACUUAUUUAAUUUUGAAGUUCUGUGAAGAUAUUGUUUUAUAUAUAAACUAUUGUACAUUUCGUGCUCUAUAUCGUGUUUUACAAGACUGAACUCACAUGUGAGAACUUGUGAUCCUGUUACAAGAACACCUAAAAACCCAUUUUAAUUGUUUUGUACAGAGUCUUGUACUUUGCAGUUGAUU
RNAcentral lists this long non-coding RNA (1043 nucleotides) under Helianthus annuus (common sunflower). Its description in RNAcentral is "hypothetical non coding rna". Lineage: Eukaryota; Viridiplantae; Streptophyta; Magnoliopsida; Asterales; Asteraceae. The record is from RNAcentral.